This 691-nucleotide ribosomal RNA is filed under the name uncultured bacterium. Its description in RNAcentral is "partial 16S ribosomal RNA". It matches the Rfam family "Bacterial small subunit ribosomal RNA", at positions 140 to 851 of the family's 1533-position model. The record is from RNAcentral.
GGGAUAGCCGCCCGAAAGGACGGGUAAUACCGGAUACCCCCGGGCGCCGCAUGGCGCCCGGGCUAAAGCCCCGACGGGAGGGGAUGGCUCCGCGGCCCAUCAGGUAGACGGCGGGGUGACGGCCCACCGUGCCGACAACGGGUAGCCGGGUUGAGAGACCGACCGGCCAGAUUGGGACUGAGACACGGCCCAGACUCCUACGGGAGGCAGCAGUGGGGAAUCUUGCGCAAUGGGGGGAACCCUGACGCAGCGACGCCGCGUGCGGGACGGAGGCCUUCGGGUCGUAAACCGCUUUCAGCAGGGAAGAGUCAAGACUGUACCUGCAGAAGAAGCCCCGGCUAACUACGUGCCAGCAGCCGCGGUAAUACGUAGGGGGCGAGCGUUAUCCGGAUUCAUUGGGCGUAAAGCGCGCGUAGGCGGCCCGGCAGGCCGGGGGUCGAAGCGGGGGGCUCAACCCCCCGAAGCCCCCGGAACCUCCGCGGCUUGGGUCCGGUAGGGGAGGGUGGAACACCCGGUGUAGCGGUGGAAUGCGCAGAUAUCGGGUGGAACACCGGUGGCGAAGGCGGCCCUCUGGGCCGAGACCGACGCUGAGGCGCGAAAGCUGGGGGAGCGAACAGGAUUAGAUACCCUGGUAGUCCCAGCCGUAAACGAUGGACGCUAGGUGCGGGGGGACGAUCCCCCCGUGCCGCAG